CGAGUUGGCCAGACAAUCGCUGCUUUAUCCUUUACUUUCGGGUAGGGAGAUAGAGGGGAGGAAAGUCCGGGCUCCAACGAGCAGGGUGCCAGGUAACGCCUGGGGGGCGCAAGCCCACGACAAGUGCAGCAGAGAGAAGACCGCCGAUGGCUGGCAACAGCACAGGUAAGGGUGAAAGGGUGCGGUAAGAGCGCACCGGGCGGCUGGUAACAGUUCGCAGCAGGGUAAACUCCACCCGGAGCAAGACCAAAUAGGGUUUCAUAUGGCGUGGCUCGCGUUGAAACCGGGUAGGUUGCUUGAGCCUUAGAGCGAUUUAAGGCCUAGACGAAUGAUUGUCCACGACAAAACCCGGCUUAUCGGCCAACUCAAAUG
Molecule: non-coding RNA, 372 nt
Organism: Thalassomonas actiniarum
Lineage: Bacteria; Pseudomonadati; Pseudomonadota; Gammaproteobacteria; Alteromonadales; Colwelliaceae
Source: Rfam